This 301-nucleotide ribosomal RNA is filed under the name uncultured bacterium. RNAcentral describes it as "partial 16S ribosomal RNA". It matches the Rfam family "Bacterial small subunit ribosomal RNA", at positions 509 to 807 of the family's 1533-position model. The record is from RNAcentral.
CAGCAGCCGCGGGAAUACGGAGGGUGCAAGCGUUAAUCGGAAUUACUGGGCGUAAAGCGCACGCAGGCGGUCUGUCAAGUCAGAUGUGAAAUCCCCGGGCUUAACCUGGGAACUGCAUUUGAAACUGGCAGACUGGAGUCUUGUAGAGGGGGGUAGAAUUCCAGGUGUAGCGGUGAAAUGCGUAGAGAUCUGGAGGAAUACCGGUGGCGAAGGCGGCCCCCUGGACAAAGACUGACGCUCAGGUGCGAAAGCGUGGGGAGCAAACAGGAUUAGAUACCCCUGUAGUCCCUGUCUCUUAUAC